This 253-nucleotide ribosomal RNA is filed under the name uncultured bacterium. RNAcentral describes it as "partial 16S ribosomal RNA". It matches the Rfam family "Bacterial small subunit ribosomal RNA", at positions 524 to 776 of the family's 1533-position model. The record is from RNAcentral.
UACGGGGGGGGCAAGCGUUGUUCGGAAUUACUGGGCGUAAAGGGCUCGUAGGUGGCCAACUAAGUCAGACGUGAAAUCCCUCAGCUUAACUGGGGAACUGCGUCUGAUACUGGAUGGCUUGAGUUUGGGAGAGGGAUGCAGAAUUCCAGGUGUAGCGGUGAAAUGCGUAGAUAUCUGGAGGAACACCGGUGGCGAAGGCGGCAUCCUGGACCAACACUGACACUGAGGAGCGAAAGCCAGGGGAGCAAACGGG